Molecule: ribosomal RNA, 449 nt
Filed under: uncultured bacterium
Lineage: Bacteria
Description: bacterial SSU rRNA
Rfam family: Bacterial small subunit ribosomal RNA
Source: RNAcentral
GCCCAGACUCCUACGGGAGGCAGCAGUGGGGAAUAUUGCACAAUGGGGGAAACCCUGAUGCAGCGACGCCGCGUGAGCGAUGAAGUAUUUCGGUAUGUAAAGCUCUAUCAGCAGGGAAGAAAAUGACGGUACCUGACUAAGAAGCCCCGGCUAACUACGUGCCAGCAGCCGCGGUAAUACGUAGGGGGCAAGCGUUAUCCGGAUUUACUGGGUGUAAAGGGAGCGUAGACGGCUGUGCAAGCCAGAUGUGAAAGCCCGGGGCUCAACCCCGGGACUGCAUUUGGAACUGUGUGGCUGGAGUGUCGGAGAGGCAGGCGGAAUUCCUAGUGUAGCGGUGAAAUGCGUAGAUAUUAGGAGGAACACCAGUGGCGAAGGCGGCCUGCUGGACGAUGACUGACGUUGAGGCUCGAAAGCGUGGGGAGCAAACAGGAUUAGAUACCCCCGUAAUG